RNAcentral lists this ribosomal RNA (253 nucleotides) under uncultured bacterium. RNAcentral's name for it is "partial 16S ribosomal RNA". It matches the Rfam family "Bacterial small subunit ribosomal RNA", at positions 524 to 776 of the family's 1533-position model. The record is from RNAcentral.
UACGUAGGGUGCGAGCGUUGUCCGGAAUUAUUGGGCGUAAAGAGCUCGUAGACGGUGUGUCACGUCGGCCGUGAAAACCUGCAGCUUAACUGUGGCGUGCGGUCGAUACGGGCAUCACUGGAGUUCGGCAGGGGAGACUGGAAUUCCUGGUGUAGCGGUGAAAUGCGCAGAUAUCAGGAGGAACACCGGUGGCGAAGGCGGGUCUCUGGGCCGAUACUGACGCUGAGGAGCGAAAGCGUGGGGAGCAAACAGG